UAGGGAAUCUUCCGCAAUGGGCGAAAGCCUGACGGAGCAACGCCGCGUGAGUGAUGAAGGUCUUCGGAUCGUAAAACUCUGUUAUUAGGGAAGAACAAAUGUGUAAGUAACUAUGCACGUCUUGACGGUACCUAAUCUGAAAGCCACGGCUAACUACGUGCCAGCAGCCGCGGUAAUACGUAGGUGGCAAGCGUUAUCCGGAAUUAUUGGGCGUAAAGCGCGCGUAGGCGGGUUUUUAAGUCUGAUGUGAAAGCCUACGGCUCAACCGUGGAGGGUCAUUGGAAACUGGAAAACUUGAGUGCAGAAGAGGAAAGGGGAAUUCCAUGUGUAGCGGUGAAAUGCGCAGAGAUAUGGAGGAACACCAGUGGCGAAGGCGAAUUUCUGGUCUGUAACUGACGCUGAUGUGCGAAAGCGUGGGGAUCAAACAGG
This 429-nucleotide ribosomal RNA is filed under the name Actinomycetes bacterium. RNAcentral's name for it is "Actinobacteria bacterium partial 16S ribosomal RNA". It matches the Rfam family "Bacterial small subunit ribosomal RNA", at positions 355 to 776 of the family's 1533-position model. The record is from RNAcentral. Lineage: Bacteria; Bacillati; Actinomycetota; Actinomycetes.